Anguilla rostrata (American eel) is the source of this 2482-nucleotide RNA transcript. It is a transcript of the gene named DEAD (Asp-Glu-Ala-Asp) box polypeptide 41, with no coding region annotated. The transcript has 18 exons. Lineage: Eukaryota; Metazoa; Chordata; Actinopteri; Anguilliformes; Anguillidae. The record is from RefSeq and is a predicted model, not a curated record.
CUUCCUCGGCCACCGUACCACUGUCGGAAAAGAAACGCGAUGGCGACGGUGCUGUUUGUUUUCCAACGCGGAGCUCAUAAUUGAACUCAAUUUUAUCAACGCAAUAACAAAAUACAGUGGAUAUUUCUGAAACUUUGCCAACUCAUAACCUACAGAAUAUAACAAUGGAUCCAGAAAGCAGAUCGAGGAAGAGGCACCAGGAGGAAGAGGAGGCACCAGGCUCAGAGGGAUCUGAGGAUGACGCGUAUGUGCCAUAUGUUCCUGUCAAACAGAGGAAACAAGAGAUGCUGCAGAAGCUGCUGCGGCUGCGGGGGAAGGGCCUGACGGAGGAGGAGCAGAGGGAGAGCGGAGGCGAGCAGAGGGACGAUGAGGAGGGCGUCGGCCCGCGCUCUACUGUCAGCCUCCUCGACCAGCACCAGCACCUGAAGGAGAAGGCCGAGGCUCGAAAAGAAUCGGCAAAGGAAAAACAGCUAAAGGAGGAGGAGAAGAUCUUGGAGAGUGUGGCUGAGGGAAGAGCGCUGAUGUCCGUGAAGGAGAUGGCCAAGGGAAUCACAUACGAGGAUCCAAUAAAAACCAGCUGGAGGCCGCCACGCUACAUCCUGAACAUGCCCUUGGCGCGGCAUGACCGCGUGAGGAAGAAGUACCACGUCCUGGUGGAGGGAGAAGGAAUCCCUCCUCCCAUCAAGAGUUUCAGGGAGAUGAAGUUCCCACAAGCGAUAUUAAAGGGCUUGAAGAAGAAAGGCAUCGUUCAUCCCACGCCCAUUCAGAUCCAAGGAAUCCCAACCAUCCUCUCAGGACGGGACAUGAUCGGGAUCGCCUUCACGGGUUCGGGGAAGACUCUAGUGUUCACACUGCCCAUCACCAUGUUCUGCCUGGAGCAGGAGAAGAGACUGCCCUUCUACAAGAGAGAGGGGCCCUACGGACUCAUCAUCUGCCCUUCCAGAGAGCUGGCGCGGCAGACCCACAGCAUCAUUGAGUACUACUGCAAGCUUCUGGAGGAAGAGGGGGCCCCGCCCUUGCGCUGCGCCCUCUGCAUUGGAGGCAUGUCUGUCAAGGAUCAGAUGGAGGUGGUCAAACACGGCGUGCACAUGAUGGUGGCCACACCUGGUCGGUUGAUGGACCUCCUGCAGAAGAAAAUGGUGAGCCUGGACAUCUGCCGCUACCUGGCGCUGGACGAGGCCGACCGCAUGAUUGACAUGGGCUUCGAGGAGGACAUCCGCACCAUCUUCUCCUACUUCAAGGGCCAGAGGCAGACGCUGCUGUUUAGCGCCACCAUGCCGAAGAAGAUUCAAAACUUUGCCAAGAGCGCCCUGGUGAAGCCCAUCACCAUCAAUGUGGGCCGCGCUGGGGCGGCCAGUCUGGACGUCAUUCAGGAAGUGGAGUACGUGAAAGAGGAAGCCAAAAUGGUGUACCUCCUGGAGUGCCUGCAGAAGACUCCGCCCCCCGUGCUGAUGUUUGCAGAGAAGAAGGCGGACGUGGACGCCAUCCACGAGUACCUUCUGCUGAAGGGCGUGGAGGCGGUGGCUAUUCACGGAGGGAAAGACCAGGAGGAGAGGACGAAGGCUAUUGAAGCCUUUAAGGAAGGGAAGAAGGAUGUGCUGGUAGCCACAGAUGUGGCCUCCAAGGGGCUGGAUUUUCCUGCCAUCCAGCACGUGGUGAACUACGACAUGCCCGAGGAGAUCGAGAACUACGUCCACAGAAUUGGGCGUACUGGAAGAUCGGGGAAGACUGGGAUCGCCACCACCUUCAUCAACAAGGGCUGCGACGAGUCAGUCCUGAUGGAUCUGAAGGCUCUGCUGAUCGAGGCCAAGCAGAAGGUGCCGCCCGUGCUGCAGGUGCUGCAGACCGGCGACGAGACCAUGCUGGACAUCGGAGGGGAGCGAGGCUGUACGUUUUGCGGCGGUCUGGGCCAUCGGAUCACAGACUGCCCCAAACUGGAAGCCAUGCAGACCAAGCAGGUCACCAACAUCGGCCGCAAGGACUACCUGGCACACAGCUCCAUGGACUUCUGAGCUCCUCUGGACUGUUUCUCUCUGGCUGUCUUCACCCAUCUCGCUCUCUCUCUCUCUCUCUCUCUCUGUCUUCACCCAUCUCUCUCUCUCUCUCUCUCUCUUCACCCAUCCAUCUCUCUCUCUCUCUUCCUCAUGUUUAUCUGUCCUGUCCAAUCUCUCUCUCUCUCUCUCUCUUUCUCUUUCUCUUUACCUUCCUUUCUCUCUCAGUUGCCCUAUUUUGAAUAUUUUUAUCUGAUGGGCACCUGUUUUGAAGCUCCCUUAUCACGGUCACUGCCGGUGGGGUGGGGGAUGUAGUGAUUGCUCAUUUCCAGAACGUUCUGUAGGUAAAUGCCUCAAGCGUGUUUCCCUGCUCACCCUCUCCACACUGCUGUAAAUCCCAUGUGCUUUUACAAGGCUUCCUUUUGUAUGGAUUUUCUGAAGGAAAACUCCAGUGUUGAUGUGAUGUAAAUAAAGUUACAAACAGAGCUUGA